This 253-nucleotide ribosomal RNA is filed under the name uncultured bacterium. Its description in RNAcentral is "partial 16S ribosomal RNA". It matches the Rfam family "Bacterial small subunit ribosomal RNA", at positions 524 to 776 of the family's 1533-position model. The record is from RNAcentral.
GACGUAGGGCGCGAGCGUUGUCCGGGUUUAUUGGGCGUAAAGAGCUCGUAGGCGGCUUGUCGCGUCGUCCGUGAAAACCUGCAGCUCAACUGCAGGCUUGCGGUCGAUACGGGCAGGCUGGAGUUCGGUAGGGGAGACUGGAAUUCCUGGUGUAGCGGUGAAAUGCGCAGAUAUCAGGAGGAACACCGGUGGCGAAGGCGGGUCUCUGGGCCGAUACUGACGCUGAGGAGCGAAAGCGUGGGGAGCGAACAGG